RNAcentral lists this transfer RNA (63 nucleotides) under Anaspidinae sp. GENSP01. Its description in RNAcentral is "tRNA-His". Lineage: Eukaryota; Metazoa; Arthropoda; Insecta; Coleoptera; Scraptiidae. The record is from RNAcentral.
AUUUAAAUAGUUUAAUAAAAAUAUUGAUUUGUGGGAUCAAAGAUAUUAUAAUAAUUUUAGAUA